UUGUCUUGAGGGUUAAGCCAUGCACGCCUAUGCUCACCCUACACAGAAGGGGAAGCCGCGAACUGCUCAGUAUAUCGGCGAUAAUACACGGGGUGGGCGAUGUUUGUCCGGACACCUGUAGGAAUCCCAGAGCUAAUACGUGCACACGAGUCCUCCUCCCAACGGGGUUUCCUCCGCGGGGAGAGGGCGCAUUUAUUAGGAUCUUGACCGGCGGUGGGCAGUCAACGCUGUUCACCAGGCUGAGGCGAACUCUGGGUAUGUGACGACCGCUGUUAGCGGCGUGCCCGUUUGCUCGCCGUCCCAUCAAAUUAAGACGGCCCGGGCAAGAGCUCCCCUUGUUGGCUACGGGUGACGGAGGAUCAGGGUUCGAUCCCGGAGAGGGAGCCUGCGAGACGGCUACCACGCUUAAGGGUGGCAGCAGGCGCGCAACUUACCCACUCCCUGCACGGUGAGGUAGUGAAGAUAAAUGUCGGGGCUGGGCUCGCAUGCGAGCCUAGUGGUCGGAUUGAGCGUAGACCAAUCAUUUGCCGUUGAUGACCUAUCGGAGGGCAAGUCUGGUGCCAGCAGCCGCGGGCUGAAACUUAAAGGAAUUGACGGAAGGGCACCACCAGGAGUGGAGCCUGCGGCUCAAUUUGACUCAACACGGGGAAGCUUACCAGGUCCGGACACCGUGCGGAUUGACAGACUGAGGCUCUUUCAUGAUUCGGUGGGUGGUGGUGCAUGGCCGUUGCUAGCCCGUGGAGCGAUCCGUCUGGUUCAUUCCGAUAACGGGCGAGACUCUGCCCUGGCGGAUAACAAACGGCGGUCAAGAGGGGUCUGUCUCACGGGUUGGGUCGGCGCUGGGCCUUCGCGGGUCGGGCGUCGGUCUUCCCACUCAGGGAGAGUCAGCGCCCCGGACCGCCGUCGCGCAGGCCGCGUCCUGCAGGGAUUGACCUCGAGCAGUGCGUACGAGAUGGAGCCAUAGCAGGUCUGUGAUGCCCUUAGACGUCCUGGGCUGCACGUGUGCUACAGUGGUGGCGCCAGCCGGCGCGGUGUAGACCGUGAGCGUAGGAGUCUUCAUGUCCGGGGUCGGUCUUCCUGCGAGUUGGGCCGUGAACUCGGAAUGCCACGUAGUCACGGGUCAGCAUCCCGUGCCGACUACGUCCCUGCCCUUUGUACACACCGCCCGUCGCUACCUUCGGUGGACGGCGCAGCCAGGGCCCCGGAGUGGCCGGCGAACAGGAGCCUCGUGUUCCUGAAAUCGCAGUCGUCGCGAUGUCGCCCGAACUGCGCUGCCCCGAGAGGGUAAAAGUCGUAACAAGGUUA
RNAcentral lists this ribosomal RNA (1305 nucleotides) under Phyllodesmium koehleri. RNAcentral's name for it is "SSU rRNA". It matches the Rfam family "Eukaryotic small subunit ribosomal RNA". The record is from RNAcentral. Lineage: Eukaryota; Metazoa; Mollusca; Gastropoda; Nudibranchia; Glaucidae.